Long non-coding RNA from Phyllopteryx taeniolatus (common seadragon), 435 nucleotides. RefSeq lists it as uncharacterized. The record is from RefSeq and is a predicted model, not a curated record. NCBI's taxonomy places the organism in Eukaryota, Metazoa, Chordata, Actinopteri, Syngnathiformes, Syngnathidae. The transcript is spliced from 3 exons.
CCCGCAGCAAGUUCAAACGGUAGGAAAAGUUCAGAGCACACCCCAACGGGACAACAAAAUUUUUUUGCCUCACUUUUGUUUUUACUUUUUGUGCAUCUUCUUCAACUAAACCUGCCUCUUUCCCUCGUGAGAUUCUGGGAGACAGACUAUCCCCAGGGCCAAUUGAUCUACGGUUAUGGUGUCCGAGUUACAAGGAGCAAGAGCAAUAGAUGACAACCAGAAUGUCACAUCAAAUGAUGCUAAUACUGCCAUGGACAUAACAGAAAUUCUACCACAAUCCAAUCUCAACUCUGUGUGUAUCCAGGCUACGGUUGACAGUAAGCCAGUCAGUACUCAAACAUCAUGGUAUAAGUGAAACUAUGGGUGGGACCCAAGUCACAUCGACAGUGAGGCAGAGGCAUAAAAAAGUUUAGUGUGACGCAGCUGUGGGAGCAG